UGAGCAAUCUGCCCUUCUCUUCGGAAUAAGCGUUGGAAACGACGUCUAAUGCCGAAUACGACCUCCUUUCGCAUGAUCGGAGGUGGAAAGCUCCGGCGGAGAAGGAUGAGCUCGCGGCCUAUCAGCUAGUUGGUGUGGGUAAUGGCCCACCAAGGCGACGACGGGUAGCCGGCCUGAGAGGGUGACCGGCCACACUGGGACUGAGACACGGCCCAGACUCCGUACGGGAGCAGCAGG
Molecule: ribosomal RNA, 237 nt
Filed under: uncultured bacterium
Lineage: Bacteria
Description: partial 16S ribosomal RNA
Rfam family: Bacterial small subunit ribosomal RNA
Source: RNAcentral